RNAcentral lists this long non-coding RNA (1474 nucleotides) under Oryctolagus cuniculus (rabbit). RNAcentral describes it as "lncRNA (ENSOCUG00000037621.1)". The record is from RNAcentral. Lineage: Eukaryota; Metazoa; Chordata; Mammalia; Lagomorpha; Leporidae.
CCACGGAAAGGUGGGAGUUGCGGUCCGCGGUGCCGGGGGUGGGGGCACCCCGCCGCCUGGCAUGGGUUCUUGAGCGCCCCCGCCUCGCGAGAACUAGGCGCCAGAGGGGCCGUGGGAGCCCCGCCCUGAGGCCAAAAUGGGGGCACGGGCCUGGCUGGGGUGCCCCGCCCCCAUGCCCCGCCCCUGACAGGCCGCACCCACCCUCGACACCCCCUGCUGCUGGCCGCUAUGGGGACGCAGCUGGUCACGCCGCAUGCGCAGUGGGUCCCAGAGGACGUCCCGCCACGUAGAGUCCACGCAGGCCCUGGGGCCGGGACUCCCACACCUUCAGCGCCCCCGAUUGUGACCUAACCGCUCCGCAGUGGACAGUGCGGACCUGGCCCAGCCCCUGGCUCUGCCCCUCCCCUCCCCAGGGCCCUGCACAGCUCAGGAUGGGGCCCAGCUGCGGGUGGGCCCUGGCGGGGUCUGGAGGGGGGCGGCGUCUCUGGUAGGAGAUGGGAGGAGGGGGAAGAGAGGUGCACCCGGCUGCCAGGUGGUGACAAAACUUGGGGUGUGAGGGCUGGGCCCAGGUACCCAUCCCAUCCCUGCACCCACUUGAACCCCGCCCUGUCCAUGUGGCGCUCAGGACAUGGUGGCCUCAGGGCCCCUGGACAAGGCUGUCAGGCCCGCAUGGCCAGACCCGCCCCCUGCAGAGGCCACUGUCCCAGCUGCCCCUUCACCCACAAGGGCCCCCCAAGGUCCCUAGCUGCCUAUCCACACCUCCCACGGGACAGGUAUGUGGGCACCAGGGGCCAGAGCCGGCCACCAGCAGGGACCACUGAGCUCCCCGGCACCAGCCUGGUGGGCAGCCCCCAGGGCCUGCAGGGAGGAGCCCCCUGGGACCAAGGACUCCCUCCGGCCCAGGUGGCCGUCUAGGGUGCUUCCCCCAGAACCUGACACAGAGCCAGCCCAGCCUCAGCCAGCCCACUGACACCAGCGGCCGCUCCCGCGUCCUACGCUUCUAGCCACCCGUGACGCCUCCUUGGCUCAGACAGGCGCAAUGGCCACCCCUGGUUUUGCCAAGGCACGUUAAGCGUGGCAGAGGGAGGGAGAGGCACCCAGGUCCACCCCACACACACACUGGCUCGUCAGACCCACGGGGCGUUGGGUGCCAGGGCGAGCAGGCCCUGCCCUCACAAGGCACCCGGCCACCCCAAAGCUGACCAGUGGGGGGGGGGGGUGACGCGCCAGGGCUGAAGGGGGCACACAUCUCCGAGGCCAUGGGGGAAGCCAGGAUGGGGGGUCUCCAGGGAGGCCUGGGGGCUUCCUGGGGCAGGACAAUGGGGGAAGCCAGGAUGGGGGUUCUCCAGGGAGGCCUGGGGGCCUUCCUGGGGCAGGGACAAUGCCAGGAAGGGGGGCCAGUGCCCUGAGGAAGCCCAGGUUGAGGCCCCCAGGUGCAGGCAGGAAGCGUGGAAUAAACGCAGGCACAGAAGCA